GUGAAUCCAUGGACACAUACAAAUUGAAUUAAAUUGUUAUUGAAUAAUGUAACAGACAGAAACAAUUUAAAAUACAACAAAAGUUUUUUGUAUCCAACAAGAAAAGGACAUCAUUUUAGCUUUUUACUGUAGGAUGCAAUUAUUCUAAUCUAGAAACUCUUGGCAUUCCUACUUUAAUAAAUUAACUUGUUUAGAUUCCAAAAAAAUUAAAAUAUUUAUUUGAAAUCACCAUUAUGAUCAGUUUUGAUGUGUAAUAAUUGAUGCAAUGAUAGCAUCCACAUGGACAACGGUGGUAUGCUUUUAUUCUAUUAUGGUGGGAGGGCAAAUUAGUAAAUAUGACUUCUUAAAUAUAUAUAUAUAUAAAUACAUUAUCCAAUUAAAGCCGGAAGAAAAGAAUCAUAUGGAAAAUGCUGUGUUUUUAGUAUUGUAAUCGAAUUAAGUCAUUUUCAAUUGCGAAAAGUAGUGCAUGGAUAGAAUUAUUAUCUAUUUUUGACUUGGUUUUUCAGGUACCCAUAUUUAGAAAAUCACAAUCCUAAUCAUGAAACUGACAUUAAAAUUAAAAAGACAGAGACAAAAAUUCUAAAUUAAAAGUUAAAAUUUGGGUUUGGAAGAAAAUAAUCAGAAUUUGAAUUUGAUGAAUAGUCAAUUUUAGAGGGAAAAUUUUUAUAUUGAAAAAUUACCUUUAAGGUGCUUCUUGUCGUGUGAUUUUUCAGGGUAGGCCCAAUCAUAGCAUCGGAUGCAGUAGACUUUUCCGACCACCUUAAAAACUAGGUGAUGGUGGUGUGGCGGGUAGUACGGUGGAGUGUAGGGCUUUGGAGGUGGAGAGUAGUAAACCGGUGGUGGUGGUGAUUUGUAGUAAGGUGGAGAGUAGGGAGGUGAGUAUGUUGGCGGUGGUGGAGAUUUGUAGUAAUAAACUGGUGGGGGUGAGUAAGUUGGUGGUGGUGGAGAUUUGUAGUAAUAGACUGGUGGGGGUGAGUAAGUUGGUGGUGGUGGUGAUUUGUAGUAGUAUGGUGGAGGAGGAGAUGGUGAUGGUGGGGGAGGGGACUUGUAGUAAUAUGGUGGAGGAGGUGAUGGAGAUGGGGGUGGUGGAGAUUUGUAGUAAUAUGGUGGAGGAGGAGAUGGCGAUGGUGGUGGAGGAGACUUGUAGUAAUAUGGUGGUGGUGGGGAUGGAGAAGGUGGUGGAGGAGAUUUGUAAUAAUAUGGUGGAGGAGGAGAGUAGACUGGAGGUGGGGGUGAUUUGUAGUAGUAUGGUGGUGGUGGGGAAGGAGAAGGUGGGGGUGGGGAUUUGUAGUAGUAUGGUGGAGGAGGUGAUGGUGAUGGUGGUGGGGGAGAUUUGUAGUAGUAUGGUGGAGGUGGUGAAGGAGAUGGUGGUGGUGGGGAUUUGUAGUAGUAUGGUGGAGGAGGUGAAGGUGAUGGUGGUGGUGGGGAUUUGUAGUAGUAUGGUGGAGGAGGUGAGGGUGAUGGUGGUGGUGGAGAUUUGUAGUAGUAUGGUGGAGGAGGUGAGGGUGAUGGUGGUGGAGGGGAUUUGUAGUAGUAUGGAGGAGGAGGUGACGGCGAUGGUGGUGGUGGAGAUUUGUAGUAGUAUGGAGGAGGAGGUGAAGGGGAUGGUGGUGGUGGAGAUUUGUAGUAGUAUGGAGGAGGAGGUGACGGGGAUGGUGGUGGUGGAGAUUUGUAGUAGUAUGGUGGAGGAGGUGAGGGUGAUGGUGGUGGUGGAGAUUUGUAGUAAUAUGGAGGAGGAGGUGAAGGAGAAGGUGGUGGUGGAGAUUUGUAGUAAUAUGGAGGAGGAGGUGAUGGGGAUGGUGGUGGAGGAGAUUUGUAGUAGUAUGGUGGAGGUGGUGAUGGUGAUGGUGGUGGGGGAGAUUUGUAGUAGUAUGGUGGAGGUGGUGAAGGAGAUGGUGGCGGAGGUGAUUUGUAAUAAUAGGGUGGAGGAGGGGAGGGUGAUGGUGGUGGUGGAGACUUGUAAUAGUAUGGUGGAGGAGGAGAGGGAGAAGGUGGUGGAGGAGAUUUGUACUCGUACACAGGAGGUGGAGGAGACUUAUACUCAG
This 2045-nucleotide long non-coding RNA is filed under the name Cucumis sativus (cucumber). RNAcentral describes it as "long non-coding RNA (CSAT_LNC001391)". The record is from RNAcentral. Lineage: Eukaryota; Viridiplantae; Streptophyta; Magnoliopsida; Cucurbitales; Cucurbitaceae.